CACUCAUUCUGAGAGAGCCACCCUUGUGAUGAGAUUGUACACGACUUAGAUUUUCUUCUUUUUAUUUUUGUGUCUUCUAAGUUUUAUUUUAUUUUAUUUUAUUUUGCAGGAAAGGAUGCACCCUGAGCUUACAUCUGUUGCCAAUCUUCCUCUUCCUUUUUUCCUCCGCAAAGCCCCAGUGCGUGGUUGUAUAUCCUAGUUUGAUAUAAUCUCCAGUUGCCAUACAUGGAGCUGGAUCCCAAAGAAAGAAGAAAACAGUUCUACAAGUAAGUAGAUUUCUUGUUAGUUAAGAUAGUCAUUUUCUAUAUAUAGAUGCUUGUUUCUUGCUUUUGCUACCAUGUUUAGCCUCUGGGACUCUUCUUGGUUGUAUCUAGUUUGUUGUUUUUGGCUCAUUUUGACAUUCUCUGUGUAUUGUAUUUUUAAUAUCAAAUCAUAGAUUUAGCAACAAGCCUGGAAACAGAUUAAGUUUCUUGUCCCAGAGAUGCUGCUCAAAAUGAAGAUGCAGCCCGGGGUGUAAGGCAGAUCUCAGCUUCGGUGUCUUUGGGGAGUCUGGCUGCUAGUGAGGUGUGAACUUUCAUUGAUCUUUGGGAAUUGUUAAUGUCAUACCUAGUUAGAGCGUUUAUGGGCCAACCCUAGUUAAGUUGCCGACCACAAAACCACAGAGAGUAAGUCCUAGACUUGUGAUUACAAAAGGAAAACGUGAAUGUUUCUGAAGACUGUAGCUAACUAGCAUCUGCCUCAAACCAACAAUAAAUCUUUAACCAUCUGUAUGACAACUCAGUCUAUUUUGUGGGAAGAAGAGGUAUGUAUACUUCAGAAGGUGUGCUUGCAUCUUCCUUUUUUGAGUUUAAAGGAUAAGUUACUUUAAUUGAUGUAUCGUCCAGCCAGUUUAGAGCAAGUGAAUAACUUUCAAAGUAGAAAGCAGUUUCAGCUACGGAGAAUAGACGAUAAUGUCAGUGGAAGUUUUUCCCCCUUAAAGUGGUUGAAAGCGUAUCAUAGCAGAUGUUUUCUGUGUUUGGAUUGUUUUCCCAUGAAACCCAUCAAUGAUGUUUGCACAUGAUGGUUUAGUUCCCUAGGUCAGGAGAUCAUGAGCAAACUUAUCUGAUCCCAUAUAUUGGAGGUUAGAAAUCUUCUUUGUUGACUUUGCACAGUGGCAACUAUUUCGAAAGAAAUAAUCUUUGUCUUAGUAGGAUAAAUUGAAGUUGUAAUCAGGUCAGCA
RNAcentral lists this long non-coding RNA (1219 nucleotides) under Equus caballus (horse). Its description in RNAcentral is "lncRNA (ENSECAG00000046953.1)". The record is from RNAcentral. Lineage: Eukaryota; Metazoa; Chordata; Mammalia; Perissodactyla; Equidae.